Molecule: signal recognition particle RNA, 98 nt
Filed under: Candidatus Equicaccousia limihippi
Lineage: Bacteria; Bacillati; Bacillota; Clostridia; Eubacteriales; Acutalibacteraceae
Description: signal recognition particle sRNA small type
Rfam family: Bacterial small signal recognition particle RNA
About the family: The signal recognition particle (SRP) is a universally conserved ribonucleoprotein involved in the co-translational targeting of proteins to membranes. Archaeal SRP consists of a 7S RNA and homologues of the eukaryotic SRP19 and SRP54 proteins.
Source: RNAcentral
UGGCGGGUCCUGUGCGAGUGACUGUCGCGAAUCAUGUCAGGCGGGGAACCGAGCAGCAUUAAACGAUUGGCCGCUGAGCUGCAGUAAAUCGGUCGGUC